AUGAAUUAUUGUUCGUUCAAGGAUGACGUGGUAGUCAUAAUGAAAAUAAAGCUACCACUCAUUGGAGUGAGGACGUGCUCCACUUACAAGGCAUACAAAACAGAUACAGCUAGAUUGGCUAAUCUGCCGGAAGAUUUGCAACCAGAAGAGUGGGAAUGGAUGAUUGAGUACUUUGGCACUGAUUCAAAAUUUCAGGAUCGCAUCCAAACGAACGCUGAUAACCGUAAGAAACAGAAGACAAAACACAUAAUCGGAUCAAAAUCUUACUCGCAAGUUAGUUUUGAGAAGAGAAACUUGGAAACUGGAGAAGAGCCAGAUUCUAUUGCUCUGUGGGAACUCACCCACACGAAUGAUGGAACAUGGUCUAACACAGAUUCCCAGAAAGUUUACGACAAAGCACUUCAAGAGGUUAAAAUCAAAGAAACUGAAGGUCCACUUUCAAGUGAGCAGAAAAACAAUAUUUUCCAGACCUCUUACAAAGACACUCUGGAAUGCAAGUCAUCGCAGCCUCGUGGGUACGGAUACAUUGCCAAAACUUCAACUGGUUCUGAAAGGUUUCAUAUCCAGAUCGAAGAGCAAGCUCAUGCUACAGCAGCCACCUAG
Molecule: ribosomal RNA, 603 nt
Filed under: Triticum aestivum (bread wheat)
Lineage: Eukaryota; Viridiplantae; Streptophyta; Magnoliopsida; Poales; Poaceae
Description: partial small subunit ribosomal RNA
Source: RNAcentral